CAGGUCACUCCUACGGGAGGCAGCAGUGAGGAAUAUUGCUCAAUGGACGAAAGUCUGAAGCAGCAACGCCGCGUGAGGGAUGAAGGAGCUUUGCUUUGUAAACCUCUGUAGUUGGAGACAAAUGUAGGGUUACUACCCUAUUGAUGGUAUCCAAAAAGUAAGGAUCGGCUAACUACGUGCCAGCAGCCGCGGUAAUACGUAGGAUCCAAGCGUUGUCCGGAUUUACUGGGUGUAAAGGGUGCGCAGGCGGAAUGGUAAGUUAGUGGUGAAAUACUACAGCGCAACUGUGGAACUGCCAUUAAUACUAUCAAUCUUGAAUGCAGUGGAGGCGGGCGGAAUGUGUCAUGUAGCGGUGAAAUGCUUAGAUAUGACACAGAACACCAAUUGCGAAGGCAGCUUGCUACACUGUGAUUGACACUGAGGCACGAAAGCGUGGGGAUCAAACAGGAUUAGAUACCCUGGUAGUCCACGCCCUAAACGAUGUUCACUCGAUCUCGGCGAUACACUGUCGGGGUCUAUGCAAAAGCAUUAAGUGAACCACCUGGGGAGUACGAUCGCAAGAUUGAAACUUAAAGGAAUUGAC
This 583-nucleotide ribosomal RNA is filed under the name uncultured Sphingobacteriia bacterium. RNAcentral's name for it is "bacterial SSU rRNA". It matches the Rfam family "Bacterial small subunit ribosomal RNA", at positions 329 to 914 of the family's 1533-position model. Lineage: Bacteria; Pseudomonadati; Bacteroidota; Sphingobacteriia. The record is from RNAcentral.